UUCCAUGGUCCAAGAGAAAAUGUCAUGAGCCUGAGGUCAUAAGAUCAGCAAGCACUAGGGCAGAGUGUCAGACCCAGGACCAUCAACUUCCAAGGUGCCAGCUCUCUGCCUUUGCCAGGUUGCUUCUCAUUGUCAGCCAUCGUCUCCUUUCUCCAGCCCUUGAAAGAGUUUUCCUGUUCUCUCAGUUAGCUCUGCUUCUCAGAAUGAGACUACAUUGGCAGCAUCGCCAAUCUCCAGGUGGAUUUCCCAUUUAACAGAUGAAAAACUGAGACUGAGUCAGAGACCUAGGAUGGGACUCCACUCUGAGAAAUGUUUGCCAGCUGCCUAAGACAAGGAACAGACUCCCUUUUUACCAAAGCACAUAUGACCGCCUGGAAUGAAGACAGUAUUUCCAGCUCCUUCACAGCUGGGAGUGGUCAUGAGACAAAGUUCUGACCAAUGAGAUGCAAGAGGUGUGAUGAGAGGCUUUCCAGAAGGCCCAUCUCUUUAGAGAGAUAGGGACUAUAUAGUGAACUUGAAGUUAGAGGAGGCUCUAGAGGCUUGUGGAAGAGAAAGAUUGAACCUUGGUCUCAAAGCCACCAUCCCAUCCCAUCACCAAAGGCCUAGACCAUCUCUACACAGCUUCUUUUAUGGGAGAGGCAAAGAAGCUUUUGUUAACCUAAGCCCCUUUCCAGAAACUGCUUUCAGCUGUAUUCAGCUAAAGUUAUCUUCGCUGUUUGAUUCUGGAAAAGGCUCCUGCUCUCUGAUCCUGUUUCUCCAACUGCAAGAUGAAAAUGCCAAUAUGACACAGAGGAGAACAGCACACUGGACACCCCAUCCCUUCCCAUUUUCUCAGCACAUUCUCACUUGGCAUCUGUCAUAGGUCAAGCAUUGACAACAUGGUAGGAACACAAAGGCAAAAGAUAAAAGGAAUCCAGUCAAUACAAGUUGUCUUAUGAUUAUCUUUCUUACUGUUCCUUAUUUUUAUUUUUUCUCAAUGAAAAUGUACCAACGAACAUGGUCCCUGCCUGGGACAGGCCCUGGGCCCAGGGCAAGUAUAUUCAGCAAACAAUAAUACAAAGACAACAAAUAUUUUUUCAGUAUAAAUAUGUCACAUGCCAUCAUUUUUUAUACUGAAAAUGUAUUCAUUGUUUAUCUAAAAUUAAGAUUUAAAAAAAAACAAAAAAAAUAAAAUUAAGAUUUAACUGGAUGUCUUGUGUUUUAUCUGACAAGCUUCCCUGGGGCUACCACAGCGAAUAAGACUCAAAUAUCUGGUUCUUCAAAGAGUGCCUUUCCUUGUGGAGGGGAUGGCAAAUAAGCCAGUGGGCAGCUCAGUAUCAUCACUGAUGGUAGGGUUGAGCAACAUGAAG
This is a long non-coding RNA of Nyctereutes procyonoides (raccoon dog), 1349 nucleotides long. RefSeq lists it as uncharacterized. Lineage: Eukaryota; Metazoa; Chordata; Mammalia; Carnivora; Canidae. The record is from RefSeq and is a predicted model, not a curated record. The transcript has 4 exons.